RNAcentral lists this ribosomal RNA (791 nucleotides) under Spodoptera exigua (beet armyworm). Its description in RNAcentral is "partial large subunit ribosomal RNA". The record is from RNAcentral. Lineage: Eukaryota; Metazoa; Arthropoda; Insecta; Lepidoptera; Noctuidae.
AAUUUAAUUUUAUAUUAUUAAAAUAAAAAAAUUAAUUAAAUAAUUUUUUAUUUUAAUAAUAUUAUAUUUUAAAGGGAUAAGCCUUUAAAUUUAAAUUUAUAUAAAUUUAUUUUAAUUUAAUUAAAAUUUUUAUAAUUUAUAUUGUUAAUAAAUUUUAAUUUAUUAUAAAUAAUUUUAUUUAAAAUAAAAUUUAAUUUAAUUUUAUAUAUUUAUAAAAAAAAAUUUUUGAAUUUUAUAAAAUUUGAUAUAAUGAUAAAAUUAGUAUAUAAUAAAUUAUAUUAGGAUUAAAAAAUUAUUUAAGUUAAUUAAAAGGAAUUCGGCAAAUAUAUAUAUUCCCUUGUUUAUCAAAAACAUGUUUUUUUGAAAUUAAUAUAAAGUUUAAUUUGCCCCCUGAUUUAUAUUAAAGGGCUGCAGUAUUUUGACUGUACAAAGGUAGCAUAAUCAUUAGUCAUUUAAUUGAUGACUUGUAUGAAAGAUUGGAUGAAAUAUAUACUGUUUUUUAAUUAUUUAUAGAAUUUAAUUUUUUAAUUAAAAAGUUAAAAUGUAUUAAAAAGACGAGAAGACCCUAUAGAGUUUUAUAUUUAAAUUAAUUAAGAUUAUUUAUAAAUUUAUUAAUUAAAAUUGUUUUAAAUAUUUUGUUGGGGGGACAAAAAAAUAUAAAUAACUUUUUUUAAAAUUUAACAUAUAUAAGUGAUUAAAUGAUCCAAUAUUAUUGAUUAUAAGAAAAAAUUACCUUAGGGAUAACAGCGUAAUUUUUUUUUUUAGUUCAAAUAAAAAAAAGAAGUUUGCGA